UAUUUUGACUAUACAAAGGUAUUGUAAUAAGAUUUUAAUUGAAUGCUAAAAGAAUGGAAAUUUAAAAAAAAACUUUUUUAAAAAUAAAAAUUGAAUUUUUUUUAAUUUGUGCAAAAACAAUUAUUAUUAUUAAAGACAAGAAGACCCUAAGAAUUUAUGAUUUUGUAAAAAAAAGUUUUUUUUAAAAAAUCUUGAUUGGGGCGAUCAAAAAAUAUUAAUAACUUUUUAAAUUUAAAUUGAUCUAUUAUUAAUAAACUAAUGAAUUAAAUA
RNAcentral lists this ribosomal RNA (270 nucleotides) under Hyalomma excavatum. RNAcentral's name for it is "partial large subunit ribosomal RNA". Lineage: Eukaryota; Metazoa; Arthropoda; Arachnida; Ixodida; Ixodidae. The record is from RNAcentral.